Molecule: long non-coding RNA, 266 nt
Filed under: Elaeis guineensis (African oil palm)
Lineage: Eukaryota; Viridiplantae; Streptophyta; Magnoliopsida; Arecales; Arecaceae
Description: long non-coding RNA (EGUI_LNC022481)
Source: RNAcentral
UCCUAUUAAAGAAGCCAUCUCUCUUCCAUCAAAACAGAAUAUCUUGUCCAUGAGAAGAAACCAAACCUUGAGGGAAAACAAAUGUGAGACAAGGAUUUCUGGCUCACGAUGUAACAUCUAUAGGUUUGGUCAUUGUAAUGGCCCAGCCCAUAGGGCUUUUGGGCUUGGCAAAAAUUUUGGUGAGCCUAAAGGACCUACGAAAGGAAGGAGGAAGACUCCUAAUCAGAGUCUUCUUCCCUUCCGACUCCGAUAAAAUCGGAGUGNNN